ACUCAAAUGAAUUGACGGGGGCCCGCACAAGCGGUGGAGCAUGUGGUUUAAUUCGAUGCAACGCGAAGAACCUUACCUGCCCUUGACAUGCCAAGAAUCCCGCAGAGAUGUGGGAGUGCCUUCGGGAACUUGGACACAGGUGCUGCAUGGCUGUCGUCAGCUCGUGUCGUGAGAUGUUGGGUUAAGUCCCGCAACGAGCGCAACCCUUGUCUCUAGUUACUAACAGUUCGGCUGAGCACUCUAGAGAGACUGCCGGUGAUAAACCGGAGGAAGGUGGGGAUGACGUCAAGUCAUCAUGGCCCGUAUGGGCAGGGCUACACACGUGCUACAAUGGACGGUACAGAGGGUCGCCAACCCGCGAGGGGGAGCUAAUCUCACAAAGCCGUUCGUAGUCCGGAUUGCAGUCUGCAACUCGACUGCAUGAAGUCGGAAUCGCUAGUAAUCGCAGAUCAGCAUUGCUGCGGUGAAUACGUUCCCGGGCCUUGUACACACCGCCCGU
RNAcentral lists this ribosomal RNA (499 nucleotides) under uncultured bacterium. RNAcentral's name for it is "partial 16S ribosomal RNA". It matches the Rfam family "Bacterial small subunit ribosomal RNA", at positions 899 to 1397 of the family's 1533-position model. The record is from RNAcentral.